ACCUGGGUGGCUCAGUUGGUUGAGCGUCUGACUUCGGCUCAGGUCAUGAUCUCACAGUUUGUGAGUUCAAGCCCCAUGUCAGGCU
This 85-nucleotide transfer RNA is filed under the name Felis catus (domestic cat). It matches the Rfam family "tRNA". Rfam says of the family: Transfer RNA (tRNA) molecules are approximately 80 nucleotides in length. The record is from Rfam by way of RNAcentral. Lineage: Eukaryota; Metazoa; Chordata; Mammalia; Carnivora; Felidae.